UUCGGUUGAUCUGGUAAGCCUAAUGAGUCUCUAUAAAAAAUAUUCCCUGUUGAGAUAAAUCCAUUUCUACGUGAAAAGAAAUUAUAAUGAAUCUUUGGCGAUGAGAAGCUCAGCUGUUGGCGAUUAAAUUCUUUUUUGGAAAAAAAAACUUGAAUGUAAUAUACAUAUACAUAGGUUUUAGGCGUAUAUAUAUUAAAUGUAACAGACAUUUUUGCGAGUGUCGGUUAGUCCGUUAGAAUAUGAUUCAACUCAUUGGGUGCACAUUGGCUCGUGCAAUUGUC
Molecule: long non-coding RNA, 281 nt
Filed under: Spirodela polyrhiza (greater duckweed)
Lineage: Eukaryota; Viridiplantae; Streptophyta; Magnoliopsida; Alismatales; Araceae
Description: long non-coding RNA (SPOL_LNC002242)
Source: RNAcentral